This 1827-nucleotide long non-coding RNA is filed under the name Ananas comosus (pineapple). RNAcentral's name for it is "long non-coding RNA (ACOM_LNC039793)". Lineage: Eukaryota; Viridiplantae; Streptophyta; Magnoliopsida; Poales; Bromeliaceae. The record is from RNAcentral.
CUCAUUUCUUCGGACCCUUCAAUAUUUCUUCGAAAAUGUCAAAUCAAAUCCAACGGCCGAACAGAUCCAUGCCACCGUCAACAACUUCGCCGACGACAUCUACAGCAUCGCCGGGGAAGUAUCGCCAGAAGAGGGGAGGGGAAUCUUUGAUUUUUCGUUUCUUCGAACCCCAAAUCAAAUUAAAAAAUUAAAUCCAAAUUGUAGAAUCGAACGGAAAUUUCUUCGGAUCCGAAUCAAAUUGCAAAAUCAAAAGAGGAUUGCCUCGAACACGAAAUAGAAUUAAAAAGAAAAUCAAGUUCACAUACGAAUCCAAAUCCGAGUCACGUUCGCCUACAAACCUAUAUCAAAUCAAACCCAAACCUAACCCAAACCAAGUCCACAUAAGAACCCAAACCAAAUCUACAAAUAAACCCAAACCAAUCCAAACCAAGUCCACAAAAUAAACCCACAAAUAAACCCAAACCCAAAACCCAAAUAAACCUAAACCCAAAACCCAAAUAAACCCAAACUUGAACCCAAAUAAAUCCAAACCUAAACCAAGUCCACACAUAAAACCAAAACCCAAACCCAAAUCAAAUUCAAACCCAACCUGAACCAAAACCAAAUCUCAUGGACCAAAUUCCAUGAACCAAAGCCAAACCUCAUAGACCAAAUCCCAUGAACCAAAACCAAACCUCAUGGACCAAAUCCCAUGAACCAUAACCAAAUCUCAUGGACCAAAUCCCAUGAACCAAAACCAAAUUCAUGGACCAAAUCCUAUGAACCAUAACCAAACCUCAUGGACCAAAUCCCAUGAGCCACAACUAAACCUCAUGGACCAUAUCCCAUGAACCAAAAUCAAACCUCAUGGACCAAAUCUCAUGAACCAAAACCAAAUCUCAUGGACCAAAUCCCAUGAACCAAAACUAAACCUCAUGGACCAAAUCCCAUGAGCCACAACCAAACCUCAUGGACCAAAUCCCAUGAACCACAACUAAACCUCAUGGACCAAAUCUCAUGAACCAAAACCAAGUUCAUGGACCAAAUCUCAUGAAUCAAAACCAAACCUCAUAGACCAAAUCCCAUGAGUCAAAACCAAAUCUCAUGGACCAAAUCCUAUGAGCCAAAACCAAGUUCAUGGACCAAAUCCUAUGAGCCAAAACCAAGUUCAUGGACCAAAUCCUAUGAGCCAAAACCAAGUUCAUGGACCAAAUCCCACGAACCAAAACCAAAUCUCAUGGACCAAAUCCAAUGAACCAUAAUCAAAUCUCAUGGACCAAAUCCUAUGAACCAAAACCAAAUCUCAUGGACCAAAUCCCAUGAACCAAAACCAAAUCUCAUGGACCAAAUCCAAUGAACCAUAAUCAAAUCUCAUGGACCAAAUCCUAUGAACCAAAACCAAAUCUCAUGGACCAAAUCCCAUGAACCAAAACUAAACCUCAUGGACCAAAUCCCAUGAGCCACAACCAAACCUCAUGGACCAAAUCCCAUGAACCAUAAUCAAACCUCAUGGACCAAAUCCCAUGAACCAUAAACCAAAUCUCAUGGACCAAAUCCCAUGAACCAACCAAAUCUCAUAGACCAAAUUCCAUGAACCAACCCAAACCUCAUAGACCAUAUCCCAUGAACCAAAACCCAAACCUCAUGGACCAAAUCCCAUGAACCAUACAUCCAAUCUAAUACCCAUAUCCUAUGAACCAAUACCCAAAUCUCAUAAACCAAUACCCAAAUCCCAUGAACCAAUACCCAGAUCUCAUACCCAUAUCUCAUGAACCAAUUAGACUCUAAUACAUAGAGUUUAAUAUCGAUCAGGUCUUAACACAUAUACUUAGGGCCUAAUCAACCUCA